AACCCGACUACAUGAAGCUGGAAUCGCUAGUAAUCGCGAAUCAGAAUGUCGCGGUGAAUACGUUCCCGGGUCUUGUACACACCGCCCGUCACACCAUGGGAGUCGGAAAUGCCCGAAGUCAGUGACCUAACCGAAAGGGAGGAGCUGCCGAAGGUGGAGCCGGUAACUGGGGUGAAGUCGUAACAAGGUAAC
RNAcentral lists this ribosomal RNA (192 nucleotides) under uncultured bacterium. RNAcentral describes it as "partial 16S ribosomal RNA". It matches the Rfam family "Bacterial small subunit ribosomal RNA", at positions 1309 to 1500 of the family's 1533-position model. The record is from RNAcentral.